This 6483-nucleotide long non-coding RNA is filed under the name Malus domestica (apple). RNAcentral describes it as "long non-coding RNA (MDOM_LNC008673)". The record is from RNAcentral. Lineage: Eukaryota; Viridiplantae; Streptophyta; Magnoliopsida; Rosales; Rosaceae.
GGACUAGCUAGAGGGUUCUUCUCCACACAUGACACAUAUGCAACCUAAAUUGAUUUUCAGUUGUUCUUUCAAUAAAUUGUGAAUUUCAAUACUCCAGAUUAACCGUGAACAGCACUUUUUUAAUCUUCAAGUUUUCCUUAAGUUAUUGAAUUGGACGGGAAAACGCAUACAACAAUUCAAAACAUUCUUCAAAAGUCCCCUACGUGAAAAGCACAAUAGAGAUACAAUCAAAGAUCAUUAAACUUUGUGAAAACUAUAAGCAUUGACGAGGCAUUCGUAACUAUGAAAAGCAUGAUACUCUUGCCAAGAAUUUACUUAACGUGAUUGUGACUAGCAACCUUUACUACUUGUGAAAAUAAGUUCAUAACGAUUAGGUGAAAUUCACUUAUAUUCUAGCAUCAAAUUCAUGCAUGUAAAUUAAGCGUGCACUCUCAACCAACAUACACAAAUCAGUUUUUAUACGAACGGAUAAGUAAAUUGAAAUCACAACUUAUGAAAUCACAACCGAAGGUAAUCAAUUCAUAUUACAGAUAUAAUCAUGGCUUUGAAUUAACCUCUAGCCAAAAUCAAUUUAUUUACACAUUAUUAAAAAUAGAAAUAAAAGAGAAGUUUGGAAAAAUUAAACCGAAAGAUAAAGGAGUUUUGCUCUGUCCUUUCCGAGGUGUGCUGCGCAGGCAGCUUUCUCUCCGUGCCGAGGCUCUCCUCUGCCUCUCUCUCUGCAAAGCCCUGCUAUAUUUCUAUUCUUUUUCGCCCAAAAACAGCCUUUGACUUCUCUCCUUCUGACUUCAUGUCUUCUCUUUUUUUAUUUUCUUUUUCUCCCCGAUGCUGCUCUCUCUGCACGUCCUCACCUCUCCACUCUCACGCUGCCCAAAAAGGGCAGCUCCCCCUUCUCCCGCUCUCCAGACCCCCCCGCUGCUGCCUUUUUGUUUUCUGUUUUUCUAUUCCCUCUUUUCCCGCAUACUCCUGCCUUCCACUCCUCACGUUUCCACCUUGGAUUCCUUUCUUUCCAGCUGCAAAGCAACUUCCUGUUGUUUUCAGAAGUGAAGAAUAUGGGAGUCAACGAGGUAAAAAAAAAAUAUAAAUCAUGAUGCUCUCUUGCUCCCUCUUAUUCUUCUUUCAUCUAUUUUUUUUUUCUUUCUUUUCUUCUUCUCCAUCCGUUCCUUUCUUUUUCUACAAAACAUGAAUCAUGAUGAUGUUUCAAACAUCAUCAUGACUUGUUAUUAUUAUUAUAUAUAUAUUAUUUUUUAAUUUUAUUUAAAAGCUGAUCUACACAGACAGUUUUGACGAAUUUAUUACAUAAAAUUUCACUUGUUCUAUUUUUAUUUUCUUUGCAUAACAAAUCCUAUAAACACAAAAAUAACGUAAAUAGCUCAAAAAUAUAAGGAACUAACUAAGAAAAGACGAGUGAAUUCGAAGUAAAAAUAUAUAUAAAUAUGAUCCGAUCAAAUACCCCCACACUUAACUUUUGCUAGUCCUCGAGCAAAACAAAGAAAACUAGAACAAGAAGUAACAAGAAAAACAUUAGCUUCCCCCUAUGUGACCCUCAAAGAAUUUCAUUCGAGAAAACAAAUCAUCAAGAACCAUAGCUAGCAUCAAACCAACUAAUUCAAGUUCAUCUUCCUUAUUCAAAUAUUAGCAGUAAUCUUUGAAUCAUCCUUGAAGUGUAGUGUGUGAGAUAGUCAUGCUAAUGCAAUUUCAAGUUUUUAUUUUUAAAAUCAUCAUAUGCGAACUAGCGACCUUCUCACGGGAUAUGCACUCAAUCACACAUGUGUUUAGUUUAAAUGUGUUUCGCUCAAAGAAUCAAAUGUGAAAUUUCUACCAUAAGCUUGCAUAAAGAUCUCAUCUCCACAAUCAUAAUUGCAAAACUUAAAUCAAGAGGACUUUUAUUGGAUGCAAUGAGGUUUAGGGAGAGGGUUAUUGAAAUGAAAGAAUAGGAAAACACAAGUUCCAAGCUACAUUGCAAGCAAUUCUUUUGUUUAGAUUUAUAAGAACUCAAUCUUUCCAGCAAUUCUUCUAGCACCUCCAACCACACCCUUAAACUGAAACUUUAAACUUUUUAUUUUCUUUGUAUACAAUCUUUCUUUUUUUUUCUUUUUCUCUUUUUUCCUUUUUUUUUUUUUUUUUUAAUCACAAACAUGAAAUACCCCCACACUUAUUCUUUUGCCAAACAUCUUCACAGUACUUCACCAACGUUUCUCAUAAGACAAUUUCGCAUUGCUCGCUUGGAAAGGGUAAGGAAAAAUGUUUCAGGUAUAAGGGUAGACAUAUCUGAUGAUAAGAAAUAAAAGGCUCAACAUACACGGCUCAAAUUGGCAAACUAAUGAUAUCAUUUUUCUUUGGGAAACAUGGUUAUUUGGGCCAUAGUGGUAAACCUAAUGCCUCUAUCAUUUCCAAGUUCAUGCAAUCAAUGACAAACAUUUCGAAAGAUCGUUACGCAAGUUCUAGAGAUGUAUCUCACAUAAGUUCACCACACAUGAAAGAAUAGGAGUGUAUGAAAAAUGCACACUUUCAAUAGGCUCAAAAACUCACAUAGGAUGUAUAUGGUCACUAAAUUCACAUAUGAAGCUUUAAGUCAUACUUUAGUUUCACAUUAACAAGGCUAUGUGCAUUUGGUUUUUCAAAGAUGGUCAAACAUGUACAAAACUAACAAGAGAAUUAGGAAUUUCACCAAACACAUGUUAACUAAGUUCUUGAUGAUCAUGGUUCAAAUUUUUGAUCCAAUUAUAUCAUUGGGUCGGGAAACUAACAAAAAUCUGAUUCAGAACAAUAAGGGAAACAAGACAAUAUUUUUGGAUUUUUAAAUUUUUCGAUUUUUUUAUUUUUUUUUUUUUAUUUUUAUUUUUUUUUUUAAGAAAACAAAAACUAACAACACAGAAACAAAUGAAAUUCUAGAGAUUUCUACCCCCACACUUAAACUUGACAUUGUCCCCAAUGUCAGAAAACACUAUAACACAAAUAAAAAUAAAAUAAAUAAAUAAAUAAUAAGAAACAAAAUAAAACAAUGGGACUGAAAACUUCCCUAAUUUGCAGUAAAAUCAAGCGAUGACCCCCAAGCUAAAAUUCUGCAAUCAACUUCAAGGGUGGAAAUAACCAAAAGUUCCUGCAAAGAAAAGGAAAAAUUCAGUUAAGUACGCAAGAAAAUUAAUUAAAAAAAAAUUGCAAACGAAAAAUUGAAAAUUACGAUAAAAGAUAAUGAAUAAAACUAAUAAUAAUCAUUGGUCGUGCUUGUUGACUUUCCACAGCUUUCCUCUUGAACAGGGUGACACUUAGCUUUUCACUUGCAAGUGAUGAUUUUAUGAUAUUGUACGGCGAAGCUUUGCUCUUUGGUUAUGUUGCAGUUCCUUAUUUGUUCUCCAAGCAGAUGUGGCAGCUUCUCUAGUUCCUCAGUUCGGACUCCUUCCGCUGGGAUGAUUGUGCAAGCUGCAUUCUUCUCUGCUUGUUUCUUCUGCACAACGGGCAGGCACGAGGGAAAGGUGUUGGUCCUUAUUUCUUUCUUCAAUCUUUCCAAGUGCCCACCUCUUGCUUUCUUUCUCCUUGUCCCUAGCUGAAUUGUCUCCACAUGCUUCGAGGUAUCAUUUUCACUUCCCUUACUGUCCCCCAGGCAGAUGUGGUAGACGAAGAGAAAGCAUAAAAUGAUGAAGAUGAGUACUCGAGAGCAAGGCUAGGUAAGCAAUCAGGAAAGGGUUCCAGGCAGUUGGCUCCAGAUUGGAAGAUUGAUACCAAAUGCUGGCUGAUUGCUCUCUUUCUCCUUGUCGGAAAACAAAGACAAGGAGAAGGACAUGGAGAAAGCAUGAUAUGAGAUACUCUUGCUUUCAACCUUUAUGAUAUGAAAUACUUUUGCUUUGAAUGGGUUGUUCGCAGGAGUAUCCCAAGGAAUGAGGAACACAGAGUGACUCGAGAGGAAUUCUUUGGGAAUGCAUUUUCGGAGAUGAAGAGGUGUUGAGAGGGUGUGCUGAGAGAGUGUGCUUUUGCUGUGGAAGGCGAAAAGUAGAAACUUAUAGGACUUGUCUUCACAACCGGAACUGUUCUCUCACUUAGUGUCGGCAGCCGGUGGAUGGGUGAAAGAAUACAAAUUACGCGCUUUCUGACAAAGCUGCCCGUAAUUUCCGCAAAGCAGAUUCCUCAUUGAUAUCUAGAAUCGGCGCUUCGAGCUCUGAGCAUCGUCGAUUGUAGAGGUAGCAUGUGACACGUGCGGAUAAAUCUGGAAAAGAAGAUUUGCCCGUGGGUUGAAGCCCAGCUUUUGAGAAAGCUAGCGUGUCUUUAACUGUUGAAUUUCCCUCUUCGAUUUCUGAAUUGGUGCUUCGACAAACUGCCCGAGAUUUCCGCAAAGCAAUUUGCGUGUGACAAGUGACGACACGUCUGGACAAUUGAUCCUUUGAAAUCCGGGGUUCGGCUCGUGGUUUCUGAGCAAGCCCAGCCUUUAAGAAAUGAAACGCCUCUUUUGAGAAAAGAAUCCGGCUUUUGAGAACGGAAACUCCUCUUUUGAGAAAAGAAUCCGGCUUUUGAGAAAUGAACCCCGACUCUUCGAUUUGCGAGAGGACGCUUCUCUGAGGAGCGCCUCUUCGAUUUCUUCUUUUUAUAGAGGCGUUAAGCUUGUUCCACAACACACUUGAGCUCCCUCUAGUAAACACUCACAUCUUGCACUUGUUUAAUCUUGAUCAGUCCAACUCUCUUCUUUCUUCACCACCUCUGAAAAAUGUCUGGCCCUUCCGAUCGUCGUUUUGACUUGAACCGUGGUGAAGAGGCAGCUCCGCCUUCACCAGACAACAUAUGGCGGCCAUCCUUCAUAUCCCCUACCGGUCCCCUUACCGUGGGGGAUUCGGUGAUAAAAAAUGAUAUGACAGCUGCGGUGGUGGCCCGAAACCUUGUCACCCCCCAGAGAUAACAGACUGCUCGCAAGGCGGUCUGAUGAAUUGGCGGUCAAGGAGUCUCUGGCUCUCAGUGUGCAGUGUGCGGGUUCCGUAUCCAACAUGGCCCAACGCCUAUAUGCCCGAACCCGUCACGUUGAAUCCUUGGUGGCUGAAAUACAGAGUCUCAAGCAAGAGAUUAAAGGGCUCAAGCAUGAGAAUAAGGAAUUGCACAAGCUCGCACACAGCUAUGCCACCAGCAUGAAGAGGAAGAUUGACCAGAUGCAGGACACCGAUGGUCAAAUUUUACUUGAUCAUCGGAGGUUUGUGGGUUUGUUCCAACAACAUCUGCCUUCGUCUUCUGGAGCGGCACCGCGUAGUGAAGCUCCAACUGAUCAACCUCUGCCGCCUCCUCCUUCUGUGGCCCCGCCGACUGCUGAAGCCCCGCCUACUACUGAAGCACCACCCGACCAAUGAAUACUAUUAGUUUACAUCAUUGUAAAAAUAUUUGUACUUUUUUUUUUUUUUUUUUUAUGUAAUUUUUUUUUUUUUUUUUUUUAUUAUCAUUAAUUUUUAAAUUUUAUCUUUUUUUUUUUUUUUAAAUUUUUUUUUUUUUUUUUUUCUUUUUAAAUGUAAAUUAAUGUAAAGAGACUUUGGUUAACCUUCCCCCACACUUAAACUAAAUAACACAAACUCACAGAAAUCAAACAAAUAACACAACUAACUAAACAAAACAAAAUGAAAGCAUUAAAGAUAAGGGUGUAAAAAUGCAAAUCUGAUUGGGUUAGCGAUUCCAAAGUCUCCCUUCGUUGAAUGCUUGGGUUGCCUCCCAAGAAGCGCUUGAUUUAACGUCUUUAGCCGGACGCAUCUUUCCUUUAAAUUUCCCUCAGCUCCAUUUGUACCUAAAAUCAAAGAAAGAAAAAUAAAUCAAAUAUCAAAAGUAAAAUACACAAACACCAAUAUAAACAUAAACAAAAACAAAAAUAAAAGGAUUAGCAAAGUUACUAAUCCCCGGCAACGGCGCCAAAAUUUGAUGUGAGAAUUUCUUGACACACAAAUUAAACCCUCUUUUUGACAAUUGUAGUAUGGAUGUAAGUAGGGUAUCGUUCUAGGCCGGGGAUUAGGAGGGAUUGCUAAUCUAUUCUAAAUUAAUUUAAAAAAAUAUUAAAUAAGACUCAAGGACACAAAACUAGGCUAAAAACUCUAAUAACUCGAAACACACUUAAAAUGACUCAAAAUAAUGAAAACAAUCAAAUUAAACACUAGGAACUGAAAUGGACGGAAAUUAAAUUAAAAGACUAACAAUAAAGAAAACUAACUAAAUAAUAUAAUUUAAUAAUGGAUGGGUGUUUGGUUUUGAUGAAAAGUAAAUUAAACUUAAUUAAAUUACAGAAUUGACAAAACAUAAAAUUAAGGUAAAAUGAUAAAUGACGGACUAGCUAGAGGGUUCUUCUCCACACAUGACACAUAUGCAACCUAAAUUGAUUUUCAGUUGUUCUUUCAAUAAAUUGUGAAUUUCAAUACUCCAGAUUAACCGUGAACAGCACUUUUUUAAUCUUCAAGUUUUCCUUAAGUUAUUGAAUUGGACGGGAAAACGCAUACAACAAUUCAAAACAUUCUUCAAAAGUCCCCUACG